RNAcentral lists this ribosomal RNA (231 nucleotides) under uncultured bacterium. RNAcentral's name for it is "partial 16S ribosomal RNA". It matches the Rfam family "Bacterial small subunit ribosomal RNA", at positions 15 to 236 of the family's 1533-position model. The record is from RNAcentral.
GAUCCUGGCUCAGAUUGAACGCUGGCGGCAUGCUUUACACAUGCAAGUCGGACGGCAGCACAGAGAAGCUUGCUUCUUGGGUGGCGAGUGGCGAACGGGUGAGUAACAUAUCGGAACGUACCGAGCAGUGGGGGAUAACUAAUCGAAAGAUUAGCUAAUACCGCAUAUCUUCUGAGGAAGAAAGCAGGGGUACCAUUUGGUCCUUGUCGCUGUUUUGUAGCGGCCGGAUAU